This 1370-nucleotide long non-coding RNA is filed under the name Calidris pugnax (ruff). RNAcentral's name for it is "lncRNA (ENSCPUG00000002122.1)". The record is from RNAcentral. Lineage: Eukaryota; Metazoa; Chordata; Aves; Charadriiformes; Scolopacidae.
UCCCCGUGUGUCACCAUCACCCCGUGUCACCCGGGGGGGGGCCCCCCGUGGGCCUCGUGUCACCCCGUGUGUCCCCGUGUCACCAUCACCCCGUGUCACCCCGGGGGGGGCCCCCCGUGUCCGUGUCCCCCCCCCACUGUCCCUCUGUGUCACAUCCCCGUGGCCGUUGUCCCCACGUUGUCCCCGGGGCCACCUCGCUCCACGUCACCCUCCCGCGCCGUGUCCCCGUGUCACGGCCUCGUGUCACAUCCCCGUGUCACGGCCUCGUGUCACGUCCUGGUGCCAUCACGUCCCUGUGUCACGGCCUCGUGUCACAUCCCCGUGUCACAUCUGGGUGCCAUCUUGUCCUCGUGUCACGUCCCAGUGCCAUCUUGUCCCCGUGUCACGUCCUGGUGCCAUCCCCGUGCCAUAUCCCCGUGUCACAUCUUGGUGGCAUCUCUGUCACGUCCUCGUGCCACGUCCUGGUGCCAUCACAUCCCCGUGUCACAUCCUCAUGUCAUCCCCGUGUCACAUCCGAGUGCCAUCUUGUCCCCGUAUCACAUCCCCAUGUCACGUCCUCGUGCCAUCACAUCCCUGUGUCACGUCCUCGUGUCACGUCCUUGUGUCAUGUCCUGGUGCCAUCUUGUCCCUGUGGCACAUCCCCGUGUCACAUCUUGGUGGCAUCUCUGUCACAUCUCCGUGUCACGUCCUGGUGUCACCUCGUCCCCGUGUCACGUCCUCGUGUCACAUUCUGGUGCCAUCUUGUCCCCGUGUCAUGUCCUCGUGUCAUGUCCUGGUGCCAUCACAUCCCCGUGUCAUGUUCUCGUGUCACAUCCCCGUGUCACAUCUUGGUGGCAUCUCUGUCACGUCCUCGUGUCACGUCCUGGUGCCAUCUUGUCCCCGUGUCACGUCCUGGUGCCAUCACAUCCCCGUCUCACGUCCUCGUGCCACAUCCUGGUGCCAUCAUAUCCCCGUGUCACAUCCGGGUGCCAUCCUGUCCUCGUGCCAUGUCCUGGUGCCAUCUUGUCCGCGUGUCACGUCCUCGUGUCACAUCCCCAUGUCACGUCCAGGUGCCAUCUUGUCCUCGUGCCACAUCCUGGUGCCAUCUCCACGUCCCCGUGUCACAUCUGGGUGCCAUCUUGUCCUCGUGCCACGUCCUGGUGCCAUCUCAUCCCCAUGUCACGUCCUCAUGUCGUGUCUUGGUGCCAUCACAUCCCCGUGUCACGUCCUCGUGCCACAUCCCAGUGCCAUCUCAUCCCCAUGUCACAUCCCCGUGUCACGUCCUGGUGCCAUCACGUCCCUGUGUCACAUCCUGGUGUCACCUCGUCCCCGUGUCACGUCCUUGUGUCACAUUCUAGUGCCUUCUUAUCCCUGUGUCACGUCCCCAUGUC